GAGUGAUCUUCCCCGUGCUCACAUCUUGCUUCUUGUUUCCUAACAAACAGGAGACCGUGCGGGAAGCACUUGAUUGUGAUUGCAUGGCCACCGGAGAAGCCGUUGCACACACGGUAACUUCAAGGAGGCCCUGACAGCGGACGGGACAGCACUCAGCAGCCAAGGUGGUCCCCGCCCAUCUUAGCCAACUGGGAAUCUGAAUUCUAAUCUGUGUCGCUGAGCUCUUGGAGAUGGCCAGCAGCCAACAAUGUCCUCCUGUAUCACAAUCCAGAAGAAAUGUGAAGAAUAAAAAGUUCAGAAGCCAUUUGUGUUCAAAUAGAGUGCAAUUAAAAAGUCCCAGGCAAGCAUUAAAGCUCAUAAACAAGAGAGCGAGCAAGAAGGAAAAUGCAAGAAGCAAACGUUGAAGCAAGUUAUAACCUGCCAGAGAGGAGAAAGGCAAUAGAAAAUCAGAAAGGGAAAAAAAGGAACAGUUAUGACCACUAAUUAGCAAAUGGAAAAAGAUAAUUAGCUUCCCCCCAAAGGCUGAAUUAGGAAAAAAUGCUU
Ailuropoda melanoleuca (giant panda) is the source of this 543-nucleotide long non-coding RNA. RefSeq lists it as uncharacterized. The record is from RefSeq and is a predicted model, not a curated record. Lineage: Eukaryota; Metazoa; Chordata; Mammalia; Carnivora; Ursidae. The transcript has 3 exons.